CCCGGGAAGUCGCGGCGCCUUCGGAGGUGGCGGAUGCGGUCGUGAGCCGGCGGGGGAGGUGCUGCUGCUGCCUCCACUGUACUCAGACCCAGGUAGCACAGGAUUGUCCAUCCGCCAGCAGCUCAGUGCAACGGUGUGAACUCAGCCUGUUUCAGAGCCUUCCUACCAUGACCUAGGCUACUCUGAAGCAGGUGGCUGAGCCCUGGCCCUGGCCUGAUGCAGGACAGGUUGGCAGGGAGGCAGCAGAGCCAAAUUUUGUACAAAGGAGCUGGUGCUAGCAAGCUCAGGAAGAAGCCACAGCCGGAAGUUCACCUUGCCAGGACCUGGCUCAGCUGCAGACCUCCAAAAAGCUGGUGAACUCGGUGGCUGGCUGUGCUGAUGACGCUCUUGCUGGCCUGGUGGCCUGCAACCCCAACCUGCAGCUCCUGGAGGG
Molecule: small RNA, 433 nt
Filed under: Pongo abelii (Sumatran orangutan)
Lineage: Eukaryota; Metazoa; Chordata; Mammalia; Primates; Hominidae
Description: processed transcript
Source: RNAcentral